This 340-nucleotide unclassified non-coding RNA is filed under the name soil metagenome. RNAcentral describes it as "partial contains 5.8S ribosomal RNA, internal transcribed spacer 2, and large subunit ribosomal RNA". The stretch from base 1 to 120 matches the Rfam family "5.8S ribosomal RNA", at positions 35 to 154 of the family's 154-position model. The record is from RNAcentral.
GAUGAAGAACGUAGCGAAAUGCGAUAAUUAAUGUGAAUUGCAGAAUUCAGUGAAUCAUCGAGUCUUUGAACGCACAUUGCGCCCCCUGGUAUUCCGGGGGGCAUGCCUGUCCGAGCGUCAUUGCUGCCCUCAAGCCCGGCUUGUGUGUUGGGCCUUGCUCCCCCGGGGGCAGGUCCGAAAGGCAGUGGCGGCACCGCGUCCGAUCCUCGAGCGUAUGGGGCUUUGUCACCCGCUCUGUAGGCCCGGCCGGCGCUUGCCGACCCCAAUCAAUCUUUUUUCAGGUUGACCUCGGAUCAGGUAGGGAUACCCGCUGAACUUAAGCAUAUCAAUAAGCGGAGGA